This 465-nucleotide ribosomal RNA is filed under the name Vreelandella stevensii. RNAcentral describes it as "partial 16S ribosomal RNA". It matches the Rfam family "Bacterial small subunit ribosomal RNA", at positions 338 to 795 of the family's 1533-position model. Lineage: Bacteria; Pseudomonadati; Pseudomonadota; Gammaproteobacteria; Oceanospirillales; Halomonadaceae. The record is from RNAcentral.
CCUACGGGUGGCUGCAGUGGGGAAUAUUGGACAAUGGGCGAAAGCCUGAUCCAGCCAUGCCGCGUGUGUGAAGAAGGCCUUCGGGUUGUAAAGCACUUUCAGUGGGGAAGAAAGCCUUGGGGCUAAUACCCUCGAGGAAGGACAUCACCCACAGAAGAAGCACCGGCUAACUCCGUGCCAGCAGCCGCGGUAAUACGGAGGGUGCGAGCGUUAAUCGGAAUUACUGGGCGUAAAGCGCGCGUAGGCGGUCUGAUAAGCCGGUUGUGAAAGCCCCGGGCUCAACCUGGGAACGGCAUCCGGAACUGUCAGGCUAGAGUGCAGGAGAGGAAGGUAGAAUUCCCGGUGUAGCGGUGAAAUGCGUAGAGAUCGGGAGGAAUACCAGUGGCGAAGGCGGCCUUCUGGACUGACACUGACGCUGAGGUGCGAAAGCGUGGGUAGCAAACAGGACUAGAUACCCGAGUAGUC